Molecule: long non-coding RNA, 263 nt
Filed under: Astyanax mexicanus (Mexican tetra)
Lineage: Eukaryota; Metazoa; Chordata; Actinopteri; Characiformes; Acestrorhamphidae
Description: lncRNA (ENSAMXG00005011869.1)
Source: RNAcentral
GCCGCUUUAGACUCUUGGUUUCUUCGGUACAACUGAUCACUGUCUCACCAUUAAAGGCUCAAAGAAAACGGUGGUGAAUGAAUGAAUGAACUGUGGGUUUGGUGAACAGCUUGGACUGACUGGACCAAAACAUUUCAGGAGCAACAAUCAGCCUGAUAAAUAGCAGAAACUACCUGAGAGAAAAGUACAUCCGAAACAGACGAGGAUAAAACAUUUAAACUGUAAGAUUUAUAUGUUAUAUGAUCAUUUAUAUUGUGUUUAAA